Molecule: ribosomal RNA, 446 nt
Filed under: uncultured bacterium
Lineage: Bacteria
Description: partial 16S ribosomal RNA
Rfam family: Bacterial small subunit ribosomal RNA
Source: RNAcentral
CCUACGGGUGGCAGCAGUCGAGAAUCAUUCACAAUGGGGGAAACCCUGAUGGUGCGACGCCGCGUGGGGGAAUGAAGGUCUUCGGAUUGUAAACCCCUGUCAUGUGGGAGCAAAUUAAAAAGAUAGUACCACAAGAGGAAGAGACGGCUAACUCUGUGCAAGCAGCCGCGGGAAUACAGAGGUCUCAAGCGUUGUUCGGAAUCACUGGGCGUAAAGCGUGCGUAGGCUGUUUCGUAAGUCGUGUGUGAAAGGCGCGGGCUCAACCCGCGGACGGCAUAUGAUACUGCGAGACUAGAGUAAUGGAGGGGGAACCGGAAUUCUCGGUGUAGCAGUGAAAUGCGUAGAUAUCGAGAGGAACACUCGUGGCGAAGGCGGGUUCCUGGACAUUAACUGACGCUGAGGCACGAAGGCCAGGGGAGCGAAAGGGAUUAGAUACCCCAGUAGUC